Molecule: non-coding RNA, 35 nt
Filed under: unclassified sequences
Description: DUF805b RNA
Rfam family: DUF805b RNA
About the family: Bacteroidetes, Chlorobi (1 example), Proteobacteria.
Source: RNAcentral
AAGGCGGAAACCGAAAAGCCUAAAAAGAGUAGGUG